Molecule: long non-coding RNA, 766 nt
Organism: Bos taurus (domestic cattle)
Lineage: Eukaryota; Metazoa; Chordata; Mammalia; Artiodactyla; Bovidae
Source: Ensembl
CCCUUGAAGUUGAUUUUGCCACUGCUUUUCAGGUUUCCACUACUUGCAGCUGAUUAUAGUUCCUAACUGAUGGAAUCAUUGGCAUUGAAGCCACACUUGUGUCAGAGAUCUUGGUCAGAGAGAGAACAUAAAGUGUCCCUUGGAAUCCUGGGGAAUGUGGCUCAAGGAUGUUGUAGAGGAAGCCCACAGAAGUCUGGGGUGAGUGGAGAACUGAAGAUGUGGUGGCACCAGAGGAGAGAGGGCCAGGAGACAGGCAUGGACCAGGCCAAAUGUGGCAGUGAGAUGCAGGAACAUGAGGAAGAAAACUCAUCGGUGGAUUUAGCAAGCGAGAGGUCCUGGACCUUGGCAGGGGAGAUUCAUGCAGGGUUGUGGAGAGAAGCCAAACCUCAGAGGGUGAUAGAAUCUGCAGCUCUCGGGAUGGACGCUCUUCACAUCCAGGCAACACCACCACCUGCCAUUCCUGGCCAGGCUGCCUUCCCCUUGGUCCGUCAUCCCCCUGCCUAGCCCCCUGCCUGCUCAGCCCUUCAAGAUGGCCCAGCUGCCAGUGCUCUCUGAGGAAGACUGGACCACUCUAUCCCCAGGCUCCUCCCAUCUCUCUGUGUCUACCUUGAAUCAUAUUGCCUGGGUCCAGCUUGCAAUCAGAAUCCAGUGGUGCUCUGCAAUCACUCGAGUUAAAAACCGGAGCUGCCCAAUAGUCACACCCAUCUGCAAUUUCUUUUUAGGACACCGAAGUAACCAUCUUAACAGUCUGAUGAAAAAUCAAUUC